RNAcentral lists this transfer RNA (65 nucleotides) under Brassica oleracea var. oleracea. It matches the Rfam family "tRNA". Rfam says of the family: Transfer RNA (tRNA) molecules are approximately 80 nucleotides in length. Their secondary structure includes four short double-helical elements and three loops (D, anti-codon, and T loops). Further hydrogen bonds mediate the characteristic L-shaped molecular structure. tRNAs have two regions of fundamental functional importance: the anti-codon, which is responsible for specific mRNA codon recognition, and the 3' end, to which the tRNAs corresponding amino acid is attached (by aminoacyl-tRNA synthetases). tRNAs cope with the degeneracy of the genetic code in two manners: having more than one tRNA (with a specific anti-codon) for a particular amino acid; and 'wobble' base-pairing, i.e. permitting non-standard base-pairing at the 3rd anti-codon position. Lineage: Eukaryota; Viridiplantae; Streptophyta; Magnoliopsida; Brassicales; Brassicaceae. The record is from Rfam by way of RNAcentral.
GGGGAUGUAGCUCAAAUGGUGGAGCGCUCGCUUUGCAUGCGAGAGGCACGGGACUUAUAUUUCCA